This 570-nucleotide ribosomal RNA is filed under the name Bacillus sp. TSA-fw-1. RNAcentral's name for it is "bacterial SSU rRNA". It matches the Rfam family "Bacterial small subunit ribosomal RNA", at positions 331 to 889 of the family's 1533-position model. Lineage: Bacteria; Bacillati; Bacillota; Bacilli; Caryophanales; Bacillaceae. The record is from RNAcentral.
CCAGACUCCUACGGGAGGCAGCAGUAGGGAAUCUUCCGCAAUGGACGAAAGUCUGACGGAGCAACGCCGCGUGAGUGAUGAAGGUUUUCGGAUCGUAAAGCUCUGUUGUUAGGGAAGAACAAGUGCCGUUCAAAUAGGGCGGCACCUUGACGGUACCUAACCAGAAAGCCACGGCUAACUACGUGCCAGCAGCCGCGGUAAUACGUAGGUGGCAAGCGUUGUCCGGAAUUAUUGGGCGUAAAGGGCUCGCAGGCGGUUUCUUAAGUCUGAUGUGAAAGCCCCCGGCUCAACCGGGGAGGGUCAUUGGAAACUGGGGAACUUGAGUGCAGAAGAGGAGAGUGGAAUUCCACGUGUAGCGGUGAAAUGCGUAGAGAUGUGGAGGAACACCAGUGGCGAAGGCGACUCUCUGGUCUGUAACUGACGCUGAGGAGCGAAAGCGUGGCGAGCGAACAGGAUUAGAUAUCCUGGUAGUCCACGCCGUAAACGAUGAGUGCUAAGUGUUAGGGGGUUUCCCGCCCCAUAAUACUUGCAGCUAACGCAUUAAAACUCCGCCUGGGGGAGUACGGUCGC